UACGGAGGGUGCGAGCGUUGUCCGGAAUCACUGGGCGUAAAGGGCGCGUAGGCGGCGCAACAAGUCAGUUGUGAAAUCUCCGGGCUUAACUCGGAACGGUCAAGUGAUACUGUCGUGCUAGAGUACAGAAGGGGCAGCUGGAAUUCUCGGUGUAGCGGUGAAAUGCGUAGAUAUCGAGAGGAACACCUGCGGCGAAGGCGGGUUGCUGGGCUGAUACUGACGCUGAGAAGCGAAAGCGUGGGUAGCGAACAGG
RNAcentral lists this ribosomal RNA (253 nucleotides) under uncultured bacterium. Its description in RNAcentral is "partial 16S ribosomal RNA". It matches the Rfam family "Bacterial small subunit ribosomal RNA", at positions 524 to 776 of the family's 1533-position model. The record is from RNAcentral.